This 460-nucleotide ribosomal RNA is filed under the name uncultured bacterium. RNAcentral's name for it is "partial 16S ribosomal RNA". It matches the Rfam family "Bacterial small subunit ribosomal RNA", at positions 338 to 795 of the family's 1533-position model. The record is from RNAcentral.
CCUACGGGAGGCAGCAGUGAGGAAUAUUGGUCAAUGGACGAGAGUCUGAACCAGCCAAGUAGCGUGAAGGAUGACUGCCCUAUGGGUUGUAAACUUCUUUUAUAAAGGAAUAAAACGAGGCACGUGUGCCUUUUUGCAUGUACUUUAUGAAUAAGGAUCGGCUAACUCCGUGCCAGCAGCCGCGGUAAUACGGAGGAUCCGAGCGUUAUCCGGAUUUAUUGGGUUUAAAGGGAGCGUAGAUGGGUUGUUAAGUCAGUUGUGAAAGUUUGCGGCUCAACCGUAAAAUUGCAAUUGAUACUGGCAGUCGUGAGUACAGUUGAGGUAGGCGGAAUUCGUGGUGUAGCGGUGAAAUGCUUAGAGAUCACGAAGAACCCCGAUUGCGAAGGCAGCUUACUAAACUGUGACUGACAUUGAUGCUCGAAAGUGUGGGUAUCAAACAGGAUUAGAUACCCGUGUAGUC